This 229-nucleotide ribosomal RNA is filed under the name uncultured bacterium. RNAcentral describes it as "partial 16S ribosomal RNA". It matches the Rfam family "Bacterial small subunit ribosomal RNA", at positions 568 to 796 of the family's 1533-position model. The record is from RNAcentral.
UGCGUAGGCGGACUAAUAAGUCAGUGGUGAAAUCUCUCGGCUCAACCGGGAAACUGCCAUUGAUACUGUUAGUCUUGAGUUCGGUUGAGGUAGGCGGAAUGUGUAAUGUAGCGGUGAAAUGCUUAGAUAUUACACAGAACACCAAUUGCGUAGGCAGCUUACUAGACCGACACUGACGCUGAGGCCCGAAAGCGUGGGUAGCGAACAGGAUUAGAUACCCUGGUAGUCC